GCCCUUGUAGCUCAAUUGGUUAGAGCGCACGCUUCGUAAGCGUGAGGUUCCGUGUUCGAUUCCCGGCAAGGGCA
Molecule: non-coding RNA, 74 nt
Organism: Raphidocelis subcapitata
Lineage: Eukaryota; Viridiplantae; Chlorophyta; Chlorophyceae; Sphaeropleales; Selenastraceae
Source: the annotation of a GenBank genome assembly